Small nucleolar RNA from Equus asinus (donkey), 76 nucleotides. Ensembl annotates it as small nucleolar RNA, C/D box 113-5. Lineage: Eukaryota; Metazoa; Chordata; Mammalia; Perissodactyla; Equidae. The record is from Ensembl.
UGGAUCAGUGAUGAGUAUUGGUGGAGAGAUCUGAAUCAACGCCUUUGCUGCAGCCCUCUGUGACUCUGAGGUCCCU